AGCACUUAAAAUUUUAAAUAAUUAAAUAUUCCCCAUUAGAAUUAGAAUAAUGAAAAUUGUUUAUCUUGAACAAUAUAAAAAAUUAGCCAACAAGCAAGGAAUAUAAAUUGAUCUCCAAUAGGGGCUGAUGAGAUCAAAUAACAAACAAAAUUAUAUACGUAUUGCUUGCAUCUCAAAUGGCAUGCCAUGAGAUCAAACCUAAAAGCAUGACAAUUUAUAGCCCUACUGCACAUGCACCCCAAAGCAAGAGAGAAGAGAAAUAUGUGUAUCAGUACUACUGCCUAAAAAAUAAAUAAAUUGUGUGAAGUAUAUAUUUUUGUACUUUAACCUAUGGACAUAACAAAAGCAUUCAGAAUCUACAGCAAAGAAGGCCCUGCCUCCAAUUCCUAUGUUUCCGGAAAUGUCUACGGUCAGCUUUCACCAUUCUUACAGGACUGUUAUUCCAUUCCGACUGCAAUCUGUGCCAAACAAUUAGCAAAAUCAGAUUAUUAGUAUGGAUUCAAAAUGGGGCAGAUAAAGAAUGAGAAAUGACUAGCUUGACAAUUAUUUUACAUGGGGAAUGCAAAGGAGCAGGCGCUCGUUGUGCUGCUAUCGGAUCUAAGAGAGACACUGCCAGAAUUUGCAAUUGGCCCUGAAUAGCUUAUCAGACCUAAUAGAGGACCUGAAGCAGAGAAAUUUGUCUCCUCAAGACUGUACUGAAGUUGACUUGAAAAUGGCUCCAUGUUAGUCCCCUCCAACCUGGAUGAGCACGACUCAAUAUGUUCAGAGCCACCAUUCUGAGAAUCCUUCUCUCCUCCACUUGCUGCUAGUGUAGAAGAGUGAGAGUUAAAACUUGUACAUUUAGUCUCCACCCUAUUGUUGUCGGAUGAUUCAUCUCCAAUUGUACUGGUUGAUUCAGGCACAGAACCCCCUUCCCCAUCAUGGGUUGAUUCGGGCACAAAAUCCCCAUAAGGGCUUGCCAUUUUAUUGUCUCUGCUGCCAUUUUCUAAUCCCUCAGUUAUAGAUUUCAUAGCAGUACUUGCUAAUACUGUUUCGUCUGCUUUAGUUGCAGAAUCCAGGGCAAGGGUUCCAGAGACAGCUUCAUGAUGGCCAGAAUAUAAUUCUUCAGCCACGUGUACAACAGGAUUCACCAAGAAUGCCUGCUCAUUGCCAUUUUCAGUUUCUUCACAGGCAGAAGCCAUUGCUAUGAUUGUGUUUUCACUUGGCCUCUGAAUAGACUGUCGUUCAGCUUUAUCAACAUUGUUAUGAGAAGACCCGGGUUGUGAAAGCUCCAUGUCCACUUCGGGCAUUGAAAGCAAUUCUCCAAGUGAAAAAAUCGCUUUGAGUGUAACAUUUGCAAUUUCAUCCAUUGAGUUAACGUCUGCUUCCUCUAUUGGCAUCAACUUCUUGGAAUCGCAUCCAAGAUAAAAUUCAUUUUUAGAUCCCUUUUCUUCUGAAGAUAUUAGAACAUCAGGAAUAGGCAAACAAAGUGCUGAUUUCCCUUUUUCUGACGAAGGUUUCAGAAUGUCUGGUAUACAAGUAUCUAGAUCAACUUUUUCUUUUGCUAUCUCACUAUUUAUGUCCUCAAUAGGCAGAAUUAUGCGCAAAUUCUCCUCACUAACACCUGGGUCAAACAAGAACCUGUCCCCGAAAGGGACUCCCUCAUCAACGCAGAUGUCCUUAACAACAUGGCAAAUAUUCUCCUUGUAACAAACUACCAACUCCGGCAGUUUAGAUUCCAUAACACUUUUGCCUACAUAGAAAACUGGGUCCUGCUCAAAUGAUUCAAUUUUCAGUGAAGAAUGAAUCGAUGGCAUUGGUGGGACAAAGUCUCCUACUUCUUUCUCAUCAUCACUUUUUGAAUCAUCCACAAUGAUAGAAGAAUCAAGUUUUGAAGCAGCCCAACCACCUUCACCAUUGAAUGCAUAUUUUAAUUGAUCUGUAUUGCCUUCCUUGCCAUUCAUACAACUGAAGACCCCAUGCUGAUCUCCAUUCACAAUCCCAUUUCCAGACUUGAGUCCAGUUGAGUCCAAAGCAACAUUGUUGCAUCCAAAAAGUUUGGAGUCAGACUUAUGGUCGAUAGUUCUAUGGCAAAAUACCUGAUUACCAUCGAGUUCCAUGUUCACAUAGAUUGCAUAAGAUGCAAGAUUGUCUAGUUCUUCGAGCUACCUAUAGUGAUAUCUUCAAGCACAACACUGGAAAAUGUAACCUAACCUGCCCAUUAAAAUUAGGCAUCAAGCAAAACUGUAUAAAACCGCUCUGCAUAUGAGACAAAGUCAUUGUAAAGAUACUCAGGAUAAAAGAUAUUAUAAGAAAAUUUUAAUUUAAUUAAGCAAAUAAUGAGAAAUAUAUAAAGAACUUUCCACAGAUAAUCUGAUAACGCGUAACUGAACCAGGUUUAGUCUGUGAUCAAUACAAACUAAAUUGUUCACAAUUGAGGGAGAAGAAAACUUUAACACACUAUUGAAACAACGUCAAGCAAGUUUUCAACAAAAAGUCUUCAUCCAAAAAAAUACUUUUACAGGUACUAUCAAUUUGGGGCAGCGCAAAAUCUAAAAAAUAACAAAUCAAAAAUAUCCAGGUAAAAUACAGAACC
RNAcentral lists this unclassified non-coding RNA (2575 nucleotides) under Hevea brasiliensis (rubber tree). The record is from RNAcentral. Lineage: Eukaryota; Viridiplantae; Streptophyta; Magnoliopsida; Malpighiales; Euphorbiaceae.